UCCUCAUCAUACCUCGCCUUGAACUUGGCGAGGCUCUCAUGGCCCUCCUUCUUGGCUCUCGCCAGUUCGGAGACUAAAGAGGCAUUCUCUACCUCCACCUGAGCCAGUUUAGCUUGCAGCUCGGCCAUGUCUGCUUCCGCCUUGCUAAACCGCUCCACAGAACUAGCGACCUCCUCGUCGCGCUCUGCUGUCCGCUUUUUCUCAGCCUCCA
RNAcentral lists this long non-coding RNA (211 nucleotides) under Salvia miltiorrhiza (redroot sage). RNAcentral's name for it is "long non-coding RNA (SMIL_LNC001412)". Lineage: Eukaryota; Viridiplantae; Streptophyta; Magnoliopsida; Lamiales; Lamiaceae. The record is from RNAcentral.